Molecule: long non-coding RNA, 1480 nt
Organism: Homo sapiens (human)
Lineage: Eukaryota; Metazoa; Chordata; Mammalia; Primates; Hominidae
Gene: LOHAN2
Product: lncRNA oncogene in head and neck cancer 2
Source: Ensembl
GGGGCAUUUCCUUCAGCGCCACCAUGCCAGAGAGAGCGGCAACUUCCCACAGGUUGCAAAUGAGUCCGCGUGAUGGGGACGUGAGUUAAUUAGUGCACUUGGGUUUGAGAGGUGGGUAACAAGCUGCCGCUCUGCAUUUGGUGGUUCCUUUUCCGAACAGGUGGCAACUGACUGACGGGCUUUCUCUGAAGUGGAGAAGGACAUCUGUGUUUUCCAUAUUGCGGAACACCGGAUCUUUCCAAGUCACACAUUUGGGAAGACAGCUGAAUUGCCUUCAAGUUCCUCCUGUUAUGGUACAAAUACCCACCUGGUGUGCAAACAUGAGAGACGCAGCUUUACACUAGAACCAAUGAAAGCAAAUUUGAGAAAACCCAACUCUUUAGGAAUGGAGACUACAGAUGUAUGAGGGGAUCUUAAUAAUUAAAAGAAGAAAAUAUGUAAACAGGAAAAAUAUCCAACUGUCACAAAACUCUACACUAAAUCAAACUGCAAAGUUUUGUCUUUUUAAAAAUAUAGUCAUGUGCCACAUGACAACGUUUCAAUCAAGGAGGGGCUGCAUACACGACAAUGGUCCUGUAAGAUUACAAUGGCGCUGAAAAUUUCCUAUGGCCCAGUCACAUCAUAGCUACCAAAACAUCACUGUGCAAGGCACUACUCAUGUGUCUGUGAUGUUGCUGGUACCAACAAAUUUACUGCACUGCCAGUCAUAUAAAAGUAUAACACAUACAAUUAUAUACAGUACUUAAUACUUGAUAAUGGUAAUAGUGACUAUGUUACUGAUUUACGUAUUUACUAUAACUUGUGUCAUUAUUUUAGAGUGUGCUCCCUGUACUUACAAAAUAAAAAAUUUAACUGUACAACAGCCCCAGGCAAGUCCUUUAGGAGGAAUUCCAGAAGAAAGCAUUGUUAUCAUAGGAGAUGACAGCUCCAUGCGUGUUAUUGCCCCUGAAGACCUUCCAGUGGGAGAAGAUGUGCAGCUAUAGAAUAAACAGUGGCUGGAGGAUGAUACACCAAAGAAGGAAAGAAACAAGUGAACUCAAAUCAAAGAAUUCACAUCAGCUUUUUUGAAAGGGGAAAACCAAAAACGUCAAUUGCAAGCCUCAACCCCCUUCUUCUUCCCCAAACUGUUUUUCCUUUUGGUUUAUUUCUGCAUCAGAGUCUACCUAGGUUUCAAAACCAAUUUUCCAUUUUCCUAGAACCAGCCAAAUAUGGAGUGUGUGCAAAAACAUGGUAGCUUAAAAGAAGAAGAAGUAGACAAUUAUCAAAGGGAAGAGGGAGGAAGGAAAGAGAAGGGAAAUAAAGAGAGAUGACACAAGGGAACUGGACCAGAUAAAGACAAAGCAAUGCACUUAACCCACCUGGAGAGCACAUCGGACCAGCAAGGCGCUCUCAGCCAAUCGCCUGGGUCUGCGGCUGGGAGGAGAGUCCGCAUGGGUUCAUUUGGCUGAGGAGUGUGUUUCAUAAACCUUACGGUGCAGCU